RNAcentral lists this ribosomal RNA (419 nucleotides) under uncultured bacterium. RNAcentral describes it as "bacterial SSU rRNA". It matches the Rfam family "Bacterial small subunit ribosomal RNA", at positions 355 to 774 of the family's 1533-position model. The record is from RNAcentral.
UGAGGAAUAUUGCGCAAUGGGCGAAAGCCUGACGCAGCAACGCCGCGUGGAUGAUGAAGUUCUUCGGAAUGUAAAAUCCUUUUGCAGGGGACGAAUAUGCUGGCUUGCCAGCACUGACGGUACCUUGCGAAUAAGCCACGGCUAACUCUGUGCCAGCAGCCGCGGUGAUACAGGGGUGGCAAGCGUUGUCCGGAUUUACUGGGUGAAAAGGGUGCGCAGGCGGACCGAUAAGUCGGGGGUUAAAUCCAUGUGCUUAACACAUGCACGGCUUCCGAUACUGUCGGUCUAGAGUCUCGAAGAGGAAGGUGGAAUUUCCGGUGUAACGGUGGAAUGUGUAGAUAUCGGAAAGAACACCAGUGGCGAAGGCAGCCUUCUGGUCGAGAACUGACGCUCAUGCACGAAAGCGUGGGGAGCAAACA